GAUCUUUAAUUUGAGUUCUAACU
Molecule: small nuclear RNA, 23 nt
Filed under: Arabidopsis thaliana (thale cress)
Lineage: Eukaryota; Viridiplantae; Streptophyta; Magnoliopsida; Brassicales; Brassicaceae
Description: snRNA_01002
Source: RNAcentral